RNAcentral lists this ribosomal RNA (206 nucleotides) under uncultured bacterium. RNAcentral's name for it is "partial 16S ribosomal RNA". It matches the Rfam family "Bacterial small subunit ribosomal RNA", at positions 568 to 774 of the family's 1533-position model. The record is from RNAcentral.
UGCGCAGGCGGUUGAGUAAGACAGAUGUGAAAUCCCCGAGCUUAACUCGGGAAUGGCAUAUGUGACUGCUCGACUAGAGUGUGUCAGAGGGAGGUGGAAUUCCACGUGUAGCAGUGAAAUGCGUAGAUAUGUGGAAGAACACCGAUGGCGAAGGCAGCCUCCUGGGACAUAACUGAGCUCAGGCACGAAAGCGUGGGGAGCAAACA